UACUAAAUAAUUAAAAAAAAACAUUGGUCUUGUAAAUCAAAAAUAAAAUUAUUUUUUUUAAAAC
Molecule: transfer RNA, 64 nt
Filed under: Hercostomus brevipilosus
Lineage: Eukaryota; Metazoa; Arthropoda; Insecta; Diptera; Dolichopodidae
Description: tRNA-Thr
Source: RNAcentral